This 426-nucleotide ribosomal RNA is filed under the name uncultured cyanobacterium. RNAcentral describes it as "bacterial SSU rRNA". It matches the Rfam family "Bacterial small subunit ribosomal RNA", at positions 355 to 796 of the family's 1533-position model. Lineage: Bacteria; Bacillati; Cyanobacteriota. The record is from RNAcentral.
UGGGGAAUUUUCCGCAAUGGGUGAAAGCCUGACGGAGCAACGCCGCGUGAGGGAUGAAGGCCUCUGGGCUGUAAACCUCUUUUAUCAAGGAAGAAGAUCUGACGGUACUUGAUGAAUAAGCCACGGCUAAUUCCGUGCCAGCAGCCGCGGUAAUACGGGAGUGGCAAGCGUUAUCCGGAAUUAUUGGGCGUAAAGCGUCCGCAGGCGGCCCUUCAAGUCUGCUGUUAAAAAGUGGAGCUUAACUCCAUCAUGGCAGUGGAAACUGUUGGGCUUGAGUGUGGUAGGGGCAGAGGGAAUUCCCGGUGUAGCGGUGAAAUGCGUAGAUAUCGGGAAGAACACCAGUGGCGAAGGCGCUCUGCUGGGCCAUCACUGACGCUCAUGGACGAAAGCCAGGGGAGCGAAAGGGAUUAGAUACCCCUGUAGUCA